Molecule: long non-coding RNA, 850 nt
Organism: Panicum virgatum (switchgrass)
Lineage: Eukaryota; Viridiplantae; Streptophyta; Magnoliopsida; Poales; Poaceae
Exons: 2
Source: RefSeq, a predicted model, not a curated record
GCCAUCUACCAUCCCGCGGUCCCCACUGGGCCCUUCCAUCUCACCGCCGCGGAGCUCCUCCACCCGCCACAGAGCUCCUCGGACCGCCUAUUCCCCUGCCAUCCCACCCCCUCGCGGCGGCGGAGCUGGGCGCCGUUCUCGCCGGCGGCGGGGUGGGCAGACCCGUCGGCUACGCACCCGGGCGGAGCUGGGGCACUCGCCGGCGCGGCGCAGGGUCACCCAAGGGCUGCCCGCGAUGAUGCGACGAGCAGCGGCGGCGGCAGGAGAGGCUAGCGCAAGGAGAACACGGCGAGGUCGCCAUGGCUGCCUAGAGGCCGAGCUCCGCCCCCAUCUUCAAUACUCCGUCCACGAACCAAAUUAAUCCAAUUCCUCACAGGGAUAGCAGCUCCAUGACCUCCUCCAUCGAUCCCCUAACCUAGCCGGCCGAAUCCCCCACCGAAGAGACGUCGUGCCGUCACGCCAUGAUCCGCUAGAACAACCUACCUCGACCUCUCCGCUCGUUUGACGAGGAACGCAGAGUUGCCGCCGCGGGCGCUGGUGGCCACGCCGAUGAAUGUCGCCGGCGCGUUCUUCCUCGUCUCGGGCGAGCUCCAGUCACCGUCUACCUGUGCCAAGUGCGUCACCACGUGUGCCUCAAAUUUCUGAACACUGUGGUAUGCUUCUUGGUCGCCAGUGAUCCUCGUAGUGUGGGAACGCCGCUCUUAGAGGAGGAAGAGGAGCUGCUGCACGCGGUUGGAUUUAGAGAAUCUGUUGGAUUUCAUUGCUCUUUUACUAGCUAUUUCAUUUUACAUAAUAGCUAAACCAGAAUUGUAGCUAUUCAUUUUUAAAAAAGCUGUUGGAGAUGCUCUAA